Molecule: long non-coding RNA, 912 nt
Organism: Homo sapiens (human)
Lineage: Eukaryota; Metazoa; Chordata; Mammalia; Primates; Hominidae
Source: Ensembl
UGUAUAUUGGUUGGAAAUAAAAUCAGUCCCUUGCAUACAUCAGUCUCUCUCUGAGACUUUUCUAGUCCGUUGGGAAAAAAUGUGAAUUCCUCUAUUAAUAACACAUUGUUUAAAGGCAAACAGUUUUGAUAUUUCCUGAUAAAUGGAGGAACAAAUAAAGAAACAGUAGGUUAUAAAAUUACUAUUGUUAUAUUAUCAUCUAUAUAUUAAUAGUUUUUCUUUGUUUAUAUAUGUGGACCUUUGAAAUCAUGUAACUCUUGUUUUCAUAUAGGUGUGCUGAAGCCCUAUCCCCAAGAUGACUAUAUUUGGAGACAGGAUUUUUGGAGAAUCUCACUCUGUCACUUGGGCGAGUCUUGCUCUGUCUUCCAGGCUGGAGUGUAGUGGUGCAAUCUCGGCUCACUGCAAGCUACACCUCCCAGGUUCAAGCAAUUCUCCUGCCUCAGCCUCCCAUGUAGCUGGGACUACAGGUGCAUGCCACUAUGCCCUGCUAAUUUUUGUAUUUUUAGUAGAGACGGGGUUUCACCAUGUUAGCUAGGCUGGUCUCAAACUCCUGGCCUUAAUUUAUCUGCCUGCCUUGGCUGGCUGGGAUUACAGGCCUGAGCCACAGUGCCCAGCCUUAUAGUGAUUUUAAUUUAGUAUAUACUAUGUAUCCAUAUUUAUCCUUGUUUCCUCUCCAUCAAUAUGUUUCUAUAUAGAAAGAACCUGUUUUAACUUUGAAUGUUCAGUAUCAAGUAUUAAUAUAAUUAUUUUAACUUUGAUUUUAUUGCAUUUAUCCUGGUAUAUUUUUAUGUAUUUUUAAUAUUUAAUACUUUGUUCUUGUAAAUAGCAAAUACAUGGAUUGUCUUUAUUUUUUCAUUAGGAAUAUUUCAUCUUUUGGUUUAGAAAUUCAAAGCAUUCAAGUUUAUUAAGGUA